This 301-nucleotide ribosomal RNA is filed under the name uncultured bacterium. RNAcentral describes it as "partial 16S ribosomal RNA". It matches the Rfam family "Bacterial small subunit ribosomal RNA", at positions 509 to 809 of the family's 1533-position model. The record is from RNAcentral.
CAGCAGCCGCGGUAAUACGAAGGGGGCUAGCGUUGCUCGGAAUGACUGGGCGUAAAGGGCGCGUAGGCGGUUUUGACAGUCAGAUGUGAAAUUCCUGGGCUUAACCUGGGGGCUGCAUUUGAGACGUCAAGACUAGAGUGUGAGAGAGGGUUGUGGAAUUCCCAGUGUAGAGGUGAAAUUCGUAGAUAUUGGGAAGAACACCGGUGGCGAAGGCGGCAACCUGGCUCAUUACUGACGCUGAGGCGCGAAAGCGUGGGGAGCAAACAGGAUUAGAUACCCCCGUAGUCCCUGUCUCUUAUAA